GAUGAACGCUGGCGGCGUGCUUAACACAUGCAAGUCGAACGGAAAGGCUCCUGCUUGCCGGGGUACUCGAUUGGCGAACGGGUGAGUAACACGUGGGUGAUCUGCCCUGCACUUCGGGAUAAACCUGGGAAACUGGGUCUAAUACCGGAUAGGACAAUGGUUUGGAUGCCAUUGUGGAAAGUAUUUCGGUGUGGGAUGGGCUCGCGGCCUAUCAGCUUGUUGGUGGGGUAAUGGCCUACCAAGGCGUCGACGGGUAGCCGGCCUGAGAGGGUGGACGGCGUCAUUGGGACUGCGAUACGGCCCAGACUCCUACGGGAGGCAGCAGGGGGGAAUAUUGCACAAUGGGCGCAAGCCUGAUGCAGCGACGCCGCGUGGGGGAUGACGGCCUACGGGUGGUAAACUCCUUUCGCUAGAGACGAAGAGGAAGUGACGGUACCUGGAGAAGAAGCACCGGCUAACUACGUG
RNAcentral lists this ribosomal RNA (465 nucleotides) under uncultured bacterium. Its description in RNAcentral is "partial 16S ribosomal RNA". It matches the Rfam family "Bacterial small subunit ribosomal RNA", at positions 28 to 507 of the family's 1533-position model. The record is from RNAcentral.